This 255-nucleotide ribosomal RNA is filed under the name uncultured bacterium. RNAcentral's name for it is "partial 16S ribosomal RNA". It matches the Rfam family "Bacterial small subunit ribosomal RNA", at positions 524 to 776 of the family's 1533-position model. The record is from RNAcentral.
UACGUAGGGAGCAAGCGUUGUCCGGAUUUAUUGGGCGUAAAGAGCUCGUAGGCGGUUCCGUAAGUCAGGUGUGAAAAAUCUGGGCUCAACCCAGUGGAGCACCUGAUACUGCGGUGACUCGAGUCCGGUAGGGGAGUGUGGAAUUCCUGGUGUAGCGGUGGAAAUGACGCAGAUAUCAGGAGGAACACCGAUGGCGAAGGCAGGUCUCUGGGCCACUACUGACGCUGAGAAGCGAAAGCAUGGGGAGCGAACAGG